This 691-nucleotide long non-coding RNA is filed under the name Rhinopithecus bieti (black snub-nosed monkey). RNAcentral describes it as "lncRNA (ENSRBIG00000046045.1)". The record is from RNAcentral. Lineage: Eukaryota; Metazoa; Chordata; Mammalia; Primates; Cercopithecidae.
UGAAAUCCAGGUGUUUAUAUUUCUUUUCUAGGGAAGAGGGAAUUGGGAAGUGUAGGCAACUGGGAGAGAAUAGAUGAGAAUAGAAGUGCAUCCUCAAGAGAACAGGGCUUCCCUGACAAUGGCACUGAUGUGACUCCAUCCAGCAUCCAUUGUUGUGAGAACUCUAUUUGGCAUAUCAUCGUUGUGAACAUGAACAAAAUGGAGACUUUCAUAGGAUGCAAUGGUUAACAUUCAAUGUUAGUCAAAAUUUGUUGUAGUCCUAACCUGGGAACUCUACUUGGUUGGAAAAAUAUUAUAGGUAAUGGCAAGCAUUUGGUAGAGUUUUAAAAUAAAGAAUACAAAGAAAUUUUCUUAGCAAGAGCAUCAACUAUAUGUGGUGCACAAUGCCAUUUUUGUAUGGAACGUAACAAAGAUUAUUUAAAUGUAUAUGAAUACUAUAUAUAUUUGUAGCCAAUAUUUUAUCAAAUAAAUGUAUUUUCACUUCUAUGUAUAUUAUAUACAUAUAUGCACAUUUUUCCAUAAAGUAAAUUUUAAUUUUUUAUACUGAAAUACUAAUUAGUUUUAAUUUUGACUUCUAUUUUCCCUUAAUAACUUCAUAAUUUCAUUACUAAAUGUUCACAUUUUACCACCAAUUUAAGAAAAUAUAUUUGUGUAUAUAUAGGUAGAGGUAUAAAUACUGUAUUAAGAAGCU